UACGACCGUAUCCCGUUAAAACAUCGGUUCCCGUACGUUGACAGAAAUUAAGCAACGUCGAGCCUUGACAGUACCUAGAUGGGUAACCGAUUGGGAACACCAGGUGCUGUAAG
Molecule: non-coding RNA, 113 nt
Organism: Acanthosepion pharaonis
Lineage: Eukaryota; Metazoa; Mollusca; Cephalopoda; Sepiida; Sepiidae
Source: the annotation of a GenBank genome assembly